RNAcentral lists this ribosomal RNA (253 nucleotides) under uncultured bacterium. RNAcentral describes it as "partial 16S ribosomal RNA". It matches the Rfam family "Bacterial small subunit ribosomal RNA", at positions 524 to 776 of the family's 1533-position model. The record is from RNAcentral.
UACGAGGGGGGCGAGCGUUGUUCGGAAUUACUGGGCGUAAAGGGCGCGUAGGCGGCCUGCUAAGUCGAACGUGAAAUCCCUGGGCUCAACCCAGGAACUGCGUCCGAUACUGGUUGGCUUGAAUCCGGGAGAGGGACGUGGAAUUCCAGGUGUAGCGGUGAAAUGCGCAGAUAUCAGGAAGAACACCCGUGGCGAAGGCGGCUCUCUGGGACGGUACUGACGCUGAGACGCGAAAGCGUGGGGAGCGAACAGG